This is an RNA transcript of Zalophus californianus (California sea lion), 1308 nucleotides long. It is a transcript of the gene named HOATZ cilia and flagella associated protein, with no coding region annotated. Lineage: Eukaryota; Metazoa; Chordata; Mammalia; Carnivora; Otariidae. The transcript has 10 exons. The record is from RefSeq and is a predicted model, not a curated record.
CGAGAUUUGAUGCGUCAGCAUUUGCUGGGCACAGUGCUGCCCGCCCAGCACGUUGUCGACCUGCGAGGACACUCCAGCAAACUAGCCGGACGGCUGCUGCUAGACGCAGUUAAACUGUUAGCUACCCCGAGGAGUAAAAGCAAGAUUGGUCAAUCCGCCUGCAAGGAGAGCCUGCAAGGAGAGCGACAUGUGUAAAGUUUAAUGGCUUUAACUUAAGGUAUUCACCAACCCACCAACUAAAGUGAGCUACAAUUGAACCGAUGAACCAAUAUGAUUUGUCUAUCACAACGUAUGGGGCACCAACUUGGGACUGCAGUGCAUGAUGGAAGUAAACCUUUUUUUUCUGUACUUCUCAGCCCAGUUCAGCGCUCUGGCUCCCAUGGGCUAGGAUGUUAGCUGCCCUAUUGAAUUCUCCAACCACUAUCCACACAGGGCUGGCCGAACUGUGGCAAUCUGGUGUGGAAGGAGAGGACAAGAACCACCCCAAACCUGAUGUUUUGACUCCUCCUAUCUGGUUGCCAAGGCUUAGACUGGUCCUGAAGCCUGUGAUACCGCAGAAGUGGGCUUCAGAUCGUCCACAGGGAUUACUGGUGUUCACCGGAACUUCGGAACAGGACUCCAACUUGGCCAAGCAGUUCUGGAUCGCAGCGUCGAUGUACCCUACUAACGAAUCUCAGUUGGUGCUAUCCCGAGGUAGCAGUCAGCGCCUGCCGGUGGCCCAACCCUCUAGGCGCAGUCCGCCUGAGACUACUGAUAUCACCGCUGAAACCAUAAAGAUUCAGGCAUCUGAGGAGAAAAAAAAGUAUCUCCAAAAGGCUAAAAGGAGAGAUGAGAUUCUCCAACUCUUAAGAAAACAAAGAGAAGAAAGGAUCUCGAAAGAACUGGUUUCCCUUCCUUAUAAGCCAAAGGCCAAAGUACACAAAGCAAAGAAUACUUGCAUUUUAAAAGAGGUCUGACUGGAAGGAAAGAAGGACCAAUAGCUAUUCCAAAGAAAUCAAUUAUCAGUGAUAAUCACAAGAAAGUGACAUCAGAGUCAGAUAAGGAACACCAAGAGGAGGUCAAAGCCUUGGACUAACGUGAUGGACACAUGGGAAAGGAUGGCUCACUUAGAUCUUGACAUUUGAAGCACCCUUCUCUUAUGUCAGGAUCAUUGGGAUCACUUUGUUGAAAUAGACAAAGAAAUAAAAGUUAAAUAUGCAGACUUCUAGGAAUUUUACCAGUUAUUGAAUACUUGUGUCUACUUUACUUGAUGGAUACUACUGUAUUUGACACCACACAAUCGUAUCAUCUUACACCUCUGAAACUCCU